AGACCCGAAACCCGGUGAUCUAGCCAUGGGCAGGUUGAAGGUUGGGUAACACUAACUGGAGGACCGAACCGACUAAUGUUGAAAAAUUAGCGGAUGACCUGUGGCUGGGGGUGAAAGGCCAAUCAAACCGGGAGAUAGCUGGUUCUCCCCGAAAGCUAUUUAGGUAGCGCCUCGUGAAUUCAUCUCCGGGGGUAGAGCACUGUUUCGGCUAGGGGGCCAUCCCGGCUUACCAACCCGAUGCAAACUGCGAAUACCGGAGAAUGUUAUCACGGGAGACACACGGCGGGUGCUAACGUCCGUCGUGAAGAGGGAAACAACCCAGACCGCCAGCUAAGGUCCCAAAGUCAUGGUUAAGUGGGAAACGAUGUGGGAAGGCCCAGACAGCCAGGAUGUUGGCUUAGAAGCAGCCAUCAUUUAAAGAAAGCGUAAUAGCUCACUGGUCGAGUCGGCCUGCGCGGAAGAUGUAACGGGGCUAAACCAUGCACCGAAGCUGCGGCAGCGACACUCAGGUGUUGUUGGGUAGGGGAGCGUUCUGUAAGCCUGUGAAGGUGGCCUGUGAGGGUUGCUGGAGGUAUCAGAAGUGCGAAUGCUGACAUAAGUAACGAUAAAGCGGGUGAAAAGCCCGCU
RNAcentral lists this ribosomal RNA (627 nucleotides) under Salmonella enterica. Its description in RNAcentral is "partial 23S ribosomal RNA". It matches the Rfam family "Bacterial large subunit ribosomal RNA", at positions 711 to 1334 of the family's 2925-position model. The record is from RNAcentral. Lineage: Bacteria; Pseudomonadati; Pseudomonadota; Gammaproteobacteria; Enterobacterales; Enterobacteriaceae. RNAcentral also lists the same sequence under 1 other name.